CGCGGGGUAGAGCAACCAGGCAGCUCGUCGGGCCCAUAACCCGAAGGUUCUCGGUUCAAAUCCGAGCCCCGCAACAA
RNAcentral lists this transfer RNA (77 nucleotides) under Candidatus Magasanikbacteria bacterium RIFOXYD2_FULL_36_9. RNAcentral describes it as "tRNA-Met". It matches the Rfam family "tRNA". Rfam says of the family: Transfer RNA (tRNA) molecules are approximately 80 nucleotides in length. Their secondary structure includes four short double-helical elements and three loops (D, anti-codon, and T loops). Further hydrogen bonds mediate the characteristic L-shaped molecular structure. tRNAs have two regions of fundamental functional importance: the anti-codon, which is responsible for specific mRNA codon recognition, and the 3' end, to which the tRNAs corresponding amino acid is attached (by aminoacyl-tRNA synthetases). tRNAs cope with the degeneracy of the genetic code in two manners: having more than one tRNA (with a specific anti-codon) for a particular amino acid; and 'wobble' base-pairing, i.e. permitting non-standard base-pairing at the 3rd anti-codon position. Lineage: Bacteria; Candidatus Magasanikiibacteriota. The record is from RNAcentral.